UUGCACUAUUCUUCAGGCAGGUUUCUUCUCAUUUUUCCUUAAUUGAUGUCCAAGAGAUGGAUGCAAUAGUGUCAAGUUUUAAUGCUUUUGAAACUAAGGAAGCAGGCCCACUAAUUCUAACAUGGGCAAUGUUUCUUUGUCUGAUUUCAUCACUUCAUGGAAAAGAAGAAAACAAUGUUCUAAUGGAGAUUGAUCAUAUUAGCUAUGUUCGUCAAGCUUUUGAAGCUGCAUCUUUGAGAUUUUUUCUUGAGAUCUUUUCUUGAGAUCCUCGAGAGUGACUUAUUAAAUGAGUCUGAUGGUCCUGUUGAUGGUUAUCGAAGUGUAUUGAGAACUUUUAUUUCUGCAUUUAUUGCAUCGUAUGAGAUCAAUAUUCAG
Long non-coding RNA from Humulus lupulus (European hop), 375 nucleotides. RefSeq lists it as uncharacterized. NCBI's taxonomy places the organism in Eukaryota, Viridiplantae, Streptophyta, Magnoliopsida, Rosales, Cannabaceae. The record is from RefSeq and is a predicted model, not a curated record. The transcript is spliced from 3 exons.